GACUCCAUGCCCCAAUGGAUAACGUGCUGGUUUACGAAACUAGAGAUUCUGGGUUCGAUCCCCAGUGGAGUCG
This is a transfer RNA of Ipomoea nil (Japanese morning glory), 73 nucleotides long. It matches the Rfam family "tRNA". From Rfam's summary of the family: Transfer RNA (tRNA) molecules are approximately 80 nucleotides in length. NCBI's taxonomy places the organism in Eukaryota, Viridiplantae, Streptophyta, Magnoliopsida, Solanales, Convolvulaceae. The record is from Rfam.